ACUGCUCCCCAUAUAAAGAAGCCUAGAUAAAAUGAUGGAAAACCAAAAAUGGAUGCCUGAAGCAUUAGCAUAAGUGUAGCAACAAUUAAACAAGCGCCUGAGGUGCAAGGCACACCAGGCUCAAGCCUCAGUGCCUCCAACACCCAAAGGAGGGUGACAUCAACUAGGCGCACACCUCACAGUAGGCACAAGGCGCACCUCAGAUAUGUUUCUG
RNAcentral lists this unclassified non-coding RNA (214 nucleotides) under Hevea brasiliensis (rubber tree). The record is from RNAcentral. Lineage: Eukaryota; Viridiplantae; Streptophyta; Magnoliopsida; Malpighiales; Euphorbiaceae.